GAUGAAGAACGUAGCGAAAUGCGAUAAGUAAUGUGAAUUGCAGAAUUCAGUGAAUCAUCGAAUCUUUGAACGCACAUUGCGCCCUCUGGUAUUCCGGGGGGCAUGCCUGUUCGAGCGUCAUUAUAACCACUCAAGCUCUCGCUUGGUAUUGGGGUUCGCGGUUCCGCGGCCCCUAAAAUCAGUGGCGGUGCCUGUCGGCUCUACGCGUAGUAAUACUCCUCGCGAUUGAGUCCGGUAGGUCUACUUGCCAGCAACCCCCAAUUUUUACAGGUUGACCUCGGAUCAGGUAGGGAUACCCGCUGAACUUAAGUAUAUCAAUAAGCGGAGGA
RNAcentral lists this unclassified non-coding RNA (329 nucleotides) under soil metagenome. RNAcentral's name for it is "partial contains 5.8S ribosomal RNA, internal transcribed spacer 2, and large subunit ribosomal RNA". The stretch from base 1 to 120 matches the Rfam family "5.8S ribosomal RNA", at positions 35 to 154 of the family's 154-position model. The record is from RNAcentral.